RNAcentral lists this long non-coding RNA (1496 nucleotides) under Betta splendens (Siamese fighting fish). Its description in RNAcentral is "lncRNA (ENSBSLG00000016032.1)". Lineage: Eukaryota; Metazoa; Chordata; Actinopteri; Anabantiformes; Osphronemidae. The record is from RNAcentral.
AAAUGAAGCAAUUUUACACUUUGUUAGAAACAUAAUCCUGCACAAUUUAUAGAUCCCACAGCCACAACGCUUUAAUUAACUUUUAUCUUUAAAAGGUUUCAUUUUAUUAAGCAAAGGAAUUUAGACCUAAAUCACUGUCAUACAUUGUCCAUUUGCCUUGUUAACAGGAGUCACCAUGAAGCUGCUGGUGUUGAUGAUGUGUCUGCUGGUCUCUGCCUUGGCUGCACCAGUGAGUUAGUUAACAUUCAAACACUGUUGUUUUGAGGACAUGACGUAAACCUGAGCCUUUUUUUUGCAUGUGCAGGCUCCACAGAGUGAAAGCAACGAGCAGGUUGCAGCUCAUGCAGCUCAUGCUAACGAGGCCCUGAGGUGGAUGGAGAUGUACAGGCUCUACCAGCAGCAGGUAUUGAAGGGUACACUUCAAAAUAAGAUGCAUCUGCUUGUCAUUUAGUUUGGUAUUAAAUUAAAUAUCUGGCUGAUUUUUUUCAGAAACUAGUUAGCAACCCCUUCCUUCCUGCGUCUCAUGCACCUGCUGAUCCAGCCGAGGCAGCGGUGGUGAGCACGUCGUGUAUCAGGUGCUGCAACAUUUCGUCUGAUGUCUGUUUGUCGUUCGACUAAAGCGUCUCGUGUGCAGGUGAAUGCUGCGCCCGCCGACGUGCCCCCCGCUGCUCCCAGAGCUGCGGAAGAUGCCUCAGAAGAGGAGGCCGAGGAUGGGCACGCGUCCCCCAGAGCGGCUGCCGCCGCCGCCCCCCUGAACUCUGACGAGGCCGAGGAGGCCGAGGAGGCCGAAGCGGUGGAGCCGGCGGUGGCUGAAGCAGCAGCAGCAGCAGUGGAGCCAGCAGCCACAGCAGCCACAGCAGCCCAGCCUGCAGCUGUGGGGCCAGCUGGGGGUGAUGUCCCUGUAGUGGCUGCCGCUGUGGACGCGCCUGUGGAUGUGGCCUCCGUGGACACUGCCCCCGCGGCCCCCGAGGCUGUUGAUGUCGCGGCCCCCGUGGCCCCCGCAGCCCCCGAGGCUGUUGAUGUCGCGGCUCCCGCUGGCGCUGCUGCUCCUGAUGCUGCCGCUGAGGGCGGCGCAGCUGGAGCGGCAGCGGAUCCUGCUCCAGUCUAGCCGCCGUCCGCUCGUUACUGACCCGGACGGGUCUCUAUGCACCACAAAACAACACGACACGAUGAAAAAGACUGGUAGAGAAUGUUCUGUAAUGCAGCGAUGUGUACACUGUCCAGAAAAGGACUAAUAGGUCUGUCUGUCUGUCUGUGUUGUCUAUUGGCAUCCUAACAUCAUAUAUAUAAAAAAAUAUGUUUCCAAACCCAUUGAUAACAUGAGGAAAUUAUACUGAAGCCAGUUUACCUGUUAUUGCUUUAUAAAACUGUCAGCAUUGUGUCUUUUUCUUUUUGUUAACCAUGAGUAAAGGUUGCCCUCAUUGCCUUUGUCACUGGUGUUCUUUCACAUUGUUUCAGAAUGAUUCAAGUGCAAAAUAAAAGUGCAUUUCACCCCA